GAUAAAGCUGUUUCAGAAUGGUGCAAUUAGUAAGGAGAUGGUGACACCGCAAACAGCUGCUUUAAUAGGAUGAUGGCAGGGUAGGGAGCAAAAGCAAAGGCAUCAACUUUCUUUCUUUGGCAGCAAGAGGAGAGCGACAACUGCCACUGAAAGAGUACCCGCAAAGAUAGAAAUGUCCUCGGGUUGGGAGCAAACUGAACACGUAUGUGGGCCAGGGGAGAAGGCAAGAUGGAGGAUAUGAGAAAGAAAAAGGCUGAUUGAUGGAGCAAGACACUCAAAGUGAAGAGCUCAAACCCAGAGGUUUAACAGGUUGGGAUCUGAAAAUCAGAGAAGGCAGAGGGACAGCAAAGUUGAUUUGGAAGUGCCCCAGGGAGAGGCUGGUGUGACAUAUCCUUUGCUUUCCACAUGGGUUGGUGAUCCUUGCCACUUAGAAGCCUCAGACAGCAGACAGUCCACCUCAGCCCCCUGAGGGAUGACGCUAGCUCUUCCAACUUCUGAAGUUGAAUCAGGUCUUGGGAGUUUCUGGAUUUGUUUCCCAGACUCAAGGGGAUUCCCAGCAAAUCAGCCAGCGCUUCCCUUCUAUUCCAGUCUGAUUGGACAUAAUUUCUCGAGUGCCUCCAACCUCCCAGUUCCUUGAGGAGGCUUUCAAAUGUAUCGAGAUUAGCCUUCCCUACCAUACCCACACUGCUGGAGACCUCCAGGGGAUACACUUCUGCACCCCAGGUCCCUGAAAUUCACCCUUCCUUCUAGGCAGUUGCAAUGGAACGGAGGUAGUGGAGGAAGAAGAGAUCACGUGAGCAGAAAGAGAACCCUCGAAUCAGUCAAUGUCCCUUCUUCAGAUGAAGCCAGGGAGAUGGGGGUGGGUUUCUAGUCAAAAGGCAAAUGUCAGUGUCCCCUGCAAUUUGGACUGGCUGGGGAAAAGCAAGUGCUUCACCAUUGUCAUCCUACUCCGGCUCAAAAUUCAGGGAGCAGAGGAUAAGACCUCACAGAGCUAAAAAUCUUGAG
RNAcentral lists this long non-coding RNA (1005 nucleotides) under Equus caballus (horse). RNAcentral describes it as "lncRNA (ENSECAG00000056516.1)". Lineage: Eukaryota; Metazoa; Chordata; Mammalia; Perissodactyla; Equidae. The record is from RNAcentral.